RNAcentral lists this ribosomal RNA (221 nucleotides) under uncultured bacterium. RNAcentral describes it as "partial 16S ribosomal RNA". It matches the Rfam family "Bacterial small subunit ribosomal RNA", at positions 328 to 539 of the family's 1533-position model. The record is from RNAcentral.
ACGCUCGACACCUACGGGGGCAGCAGUAGGGAAUCUUCCACAAUGGACGCAAGUCUGAUGGAGCAACGCCGCGUGAGUGAAGAAGGUUUCGGAUCGUAAAGCUCUGUUGUUGGUGAAGAAGGAUAGAGGUAGUAACUGGCCUUUAUUUGACGGUAAUCAACCAGAAAGUCACGGCUAACUACGUGCCGGCAGCCGCGGUAAUCUGAGCGGGCUGGCAAGGC